CUAGUAACUGCGAGUGAAGCGGGAAAAGCUCAAAUUUAAAAUCUGGUGGUCUUUGGCCAUCCGAGUUGUAAUCUAGAGAAGUGUUAUCCGCGCUGGACCGUGUACAAGUCCCCUGGAAUGGGGCGUCAUAGAGGGUGAGAAUCCCGUCUUUGACACGGACUACCAGGGCUUUGUGAUGCACUCUCAAAGAGUCGAGUUGUUUGGGAAUGCAGCUCAAAAUGGGUGGUAAAUUCCAUCUAAAGCUAAAUAUUGGCGAGAGACCGAUAGCGAACAAGUACCGUGAGGGAAAGAUGAAAAGAACUUUGGAAAGAGAGUUAAACAGUACGUGAAAUUGUUGAAAGGGAAACGCUUGAAGUCAGUCGCGUCUGCCAGGGAUCAACCUUACUUUUGUGAGGCGUACUUCCUGGUUGAUGGGUCAGCAUCAGUUUUGGUCGCUGGAUAAAGGUCAGAGAAAUGUGGCACCUUCGGGUGUGUUAUAGUCUUUGAUCAGAUACAGUGGCUGGGACUGAGGAACUCAGCGCCGCAAGGCUGUCUUAGGA
This 539-nucleotide ribosomal RNA is filed under the name Pleurotus pulmonarius. RNAcentral's name for it is "eukaryotic LSU rRNA". It matches the Rfam family "Eukaryotic large subunit ribosomal RNA", at positions 80 to 623 of the family's 3401-position model. The record is from RNAcentral. Lineage: Eukaryota; Fungi; Basidiomycota; Agaricomycetes; Agaricales; Pleurotaceae.